Molecule: ribosomal RNA, 478 nt
Filed under: uncultured bacterium
Lineage: Bacteria
Description: partial 16S ribosomal RNA
Rfam family: Bacterial small subunit ribosomal RNA
Source: RNAcentral
GAUGAACGCUGGCGGCGUGCUUAAUACAUGCAAGUCGAACGGGAAACCUUUUAUUGAAGCUUCGGCAGAUUUAGCUGGUUUCUAGUGGCGGACGGGUGAGUAACGCGUGGGUAACCUGCCUUAUACAGGGGGAUAACAACCAGAAAUGGUUGCUAAUACCGCAUAAGCGCACAGGACCGCAUGGUCCGGUGUGAAAAACUCCGGUGGUAUAAGAUGGACCCGCGUUGGAUUAGCUAGUUGGCAGGGUAACGGCCUACCAAGGCGACGAUCCAUAGCCGGCCUGAGAGGGUGAACGGCCACAUUGGGACUGAGACACGGCCCAGACUCCUACGGGAGGCAGCAGUGGGGAAUAUUGCACAAUGGGGGAAACCCUGAUGCAGCGACGCCGCGUGAAGGAAGAAGUAUCUCGGUAUGUAAACUUCUAUCAGCAGGGAAGAUAGUGACGGUACCUGACGAAGAAGCCCCGGCUAACUACGUG